UCGCGAGAGUAAGCUAAUCUCUUAAAGCCGUUCUCAGUUCGGACUGUAGGCUGCAACUCGCCUACACGAAGUCGGAAUCGCUAGUAAUCGCGGAUCAGCAUGCCGCGGUGAAUACGUUCCCGGGCCUUGUACACACCGCCCGUCACACCAUGGGAGUUUGUAACGCCCAAAGUCGGUGGCCUAACCUCUAUGGAGGGAGCCGCCUAAGGCGGGACAGAUGACUGGGGUGAAGUCGUAACAAGGUAAC
RNAcentral lists this ribosomal RNA (247 nucleotides) under uncultured bacterium. RNAcentral's name for it is "partial 16S ribosomal RNA". It matches the Rfam family "Bacterial small subunit ribosomal RNA", at positions 1255 to 1500 of the family's 1533-position model. The record is from RNAcentral.